Molecule: unclassified non-coding RNA, 296 nt
Filed under: Hevea brasiliensis (rubber tree)
Lineage: Eukaryota; Viridiplantae; Streptophyta; Magnoliopsida; Malpighiales; Euphorbiaceae
Source: RNAcentral
CCUGAUCCUGCACAAGCUCGGAUGAUCAGUAAUAGAUGCUGCCGGGUGCGCCGCCGCCAGCCGCAAUCGCAUCGCCGUUGAUCGCGAUCGACUUCGGCGACGCCAGAAACGNAACGAUGUGGCCGAUCUCCUCGGCGGUCACGAGACGGCGGAUCGUAUUGAGAUCGUUCAUCGCCUUCUCGACUUCGGCUUCCGUCUUCUUUGUGAGCCCUGCACGCCAUGCGAUCACGCCGGGCGUCUUCUCGGUCCGGGUCAGGCCCGGAUGAACGCAGGUCACGUUGAUGCCGCGCGGUCCC